UACGUAGGGGGCAAGCGUUGUCCGGAAUCAUUGGGCGUAAAGCGCACGUAGGCGGCUUGGCAAGUCGGAUGUGAAAUCCCUCGGCUCAACCAAGGAAGUGCAUCCGAAACUGCUGAGCUUGAGUACUUAAGAGGAUCGCGGAAUUCCCGGUGUAGAGGUGAAAUUCGUAGAUAUCGGGAGGAACACCAGUGGCGAAGGCGGCGAUCUGGGAAGAUACUGACGCUGAGGUGCGAAAGCGUGGGGAGCAAACAGG
This 253-nucleotide ribosomal RNA is filed under the name uncultured bacterium. RNAcentral's name for it is "partial 16S ribosomal RNA". It matches the Rfam family "Bacterial small subunit ribosomal RNA", at positions 524 to 776 of the family's 1533-position model. The record is from RNAcentral.